Papaver somniferum (opium poppy) is the source of this 1319-nucleotide long non-coding RNA. RefSeq lists it as uncharacterized. Lineage: Eukaryota; Viridiplantae; Streptophyta; Magnoliopsida; Ranunculales; Papaveraceae. The transcript is spliced from 2 exons. The record is from RefSeq and is a predicted model, not a curated record.
UAUUUGGUCUCCACAUCUGAUCGGUAUUCUCUCUCUUUUUUAUACCUCCCGCCUCGUCCUCUUUUCACUCUUACGGAGAAACCCUAGCCUAAAUACUUGCUUCCUCUGAUCUUCCUUUUCUCUGUUUUUUUUCCAUGUUUAUUGUGUUUACGGGCUCAUGUUUUUUGUGUUUGUUUAUUGCAGUAGUUCAUGUUUACAAUCUCAAAACAGAGUGAUGGCCCUUCCGUAAUGGGUUCGUUUUGGUUCAUUGUUUUUUACUAUAUAAAGCUAGGGUUUCUGAUUUUAAUUAUUUGAUUUAUACUGCAAUCCUGUUUGAUGUGUGUUUUGAUAUUGCAGCAUAUCACAGGUUUUAGAGGUAAAAAUUGAUUAAAAUAAUUCAUAAGGGUUUGAUUUCCUAUUACUAAUUAAUGAUGUCUGCUUUAUAUUAUAUUUCUACCUAUGUAGUUCUGAUUUCCAUCUUUAGCACCAACUUCUGAUUUGGAGUAUAUUCACUUUUGAAAUAUUUCGUGUUUCCGUUGCUGUUUAUUUUUGCAGGUUGCAUAAUCUUGGAAAAAGAAAAGAGCAGUUUAUAGGGCAUCAACUCUUACAAUUUUGAAGAUUUAUAAACUUGGUGUGUGUUGUCAGGAUUUAAGAACACUCCAAAGGUGAAAACUAAACCUGCGAACUGCUUAAAGAUUAUAAAUCCAAGAGAAUCAAGUCUUUAAUUCAGGUAACUCUUUCUCUCUAGCUCUCUCAAAAUGGUUCUUUACUUACCGAUUCUUAUGAUCAAAAUUUGUAGACUGGAGUCUCAAAAAGGAACUCAUAUUUCAACUGUAGAUUUUACGAAUUACUGUAAGGCUAUAAUUCCACUCUUCUUAAUAUAGUGGUGUAUUGGUUUAUUGAUUCUGUGCUUAUAUGGAUUCAAGUCUUCUUUCUAUUAUUAUUGAUGUUCCAGAUUGUUCUUUUUUAUUGCGUUCUUGAAAUGUAUUUUUUUCUUCUUCCAGAAACCCAUAAAUGUAUACCUAUGUGCUCAGUUCUUAAUUUCUCAUUGCUCACCUUUUCUUGCUUUUCAAUUAGUAGGUAGAGACAGUCCUUUUUGUGACAAAUUCUUAGAAGCUGCCAGAUUUUUUGGUAUAUGUCGGUUUGUCCCCGAGAUCGUUCUUUGGCGAUAUAAAGAAACGAAGUAAAGUACUAGGAAUGCAAUUAUUUUGAUAUAGAAACAGUAUAUAUAGCCUUUUGAGUUUCAUUUUCUUCAUAGUUAGAUAGGUUGCAAUUUGGAAGAAUAAGACGUAAGUUUUGUAAUUUGUGACAGGGUAAUCAAAACUACAAUAUUAUGGUUA